GCGUCUAUGGGAAUCGUUUCUAAAUUCAGAAACGUUGAGAGCUUAGUUUUUGUGUGGGCUCAUGGUUUGCAGCUGGAUGAAAAGACAUUAGGGUAAGAUUUUAGCCCCCGGCAUAACUCUUGUACCAAACAUUCAUGCAGGAUCUAUAAAUGGCUAGAGUUUCAAUCUAAAUUAAUUUAAUUUGAGCACGCAUAGGAAGAACUUCUCCUUAGGAUCUGGACGGCAGGUGCUUAAAUCAAGGAGCCUGGUCUGUCUGAAGACUGG
RNAcentral lists this long non-coding RNA (264 nucleotides) under Populus trichocarpa (black cottonwood). RNAcentral describes it as "long non-coding RNA (PTRI_LNC004056)". The record is from RNAcentral. Lineage: Eukaryota; Viridiplantae; Streptophyta; Magnoliopsida; Malpighiales; Salicaceae.